AUUUGAAAACCCAUUUCUAAAAAUCAAGAAGACAAAAACCCCUUUGUUAGGGUUUUUCUCUGCACUCUGCACCGUCUCUGUGUGUAAAAGCUAAUACUCAAACACCAUGCCGCAAGGAGACUAUAUAGAGUUACACAGGAAGAGACAUGGCUACCGCCUCGACCACUUCGAGCGCAAGCGCAAGAAGGAGGCUCGUGAGGUCCACAAGCGCUCUGAGAGGGCCCAGAAAGCAUUGGGUAUCAAGGGUAAGAUGAUUGCCAAGAAAAACUAUGCUGAGAAGGCCCUCAUGAAGAAAACAUUGGCCAUGCAUGACGAGUCAACAUCUAGGCGGAAGGUGGAUGAUGAAGUUCAUGAAGGAGCUAUUCCUGUCUAUCUGCUGGAUCGUGAAAACACAACACGAGCAAAGAUCAUGAGCAACACUAUAAAGCAAAAGAGGAAAGAGAAGGCUGGAAAAUGGGAAGUCCCUCUACCUAAGGUGAGGCCUGUUGCUGAAGAUGAGAUGUUUAAAGUGAUUAGAUCUGGCAAGCGGAAGACCAAGCAGUGGAAGAGAAUGAUCACCAAAGUCACAUUUGUGGGACCAGGUUUUACCAGAAAACCUCCCAAGUAUGAGCGAUUUAUCCGCCCUUCAGGAUUGCGUUUUACAAAGGCCCAUGUGACACACCCUGAACUCAAAUGCACGUUUAAUCUGGAGAUCAUUGGAGUGAAGAAAAACCCUAAUGGUCCAAUGUAUACAUCACUUGGUGUUAUGACCAAAGGAACCAUCAUUGAGGUGAAUGUCAGUGAAUUAGGUCUUGUCACACCUGCUGGGAAAGUUGUAUGGGGGAAAUAUGCUCAAGUAACAAAUAAUCCAGAGAAUGAUGGUUGCGUAAAUGCAGUUCUUCUUGUCUAGUAGACCAAUAAAACGGAAGAUUUGGAUCAGCGCAGAUUACAAACUCCUAACAGCUUUAUUACUUGCAUCAGAAGCCGCUUCAUCUAUUUUCAUCUCUUUAAUGUAGUUUAUUCCCUUUUUUUUUUUUUUUUUUUUUUUG
RNAcentral lists this unclassified non-coding RNA (1028 nucleotides) under Hevea brasiliensis (rubber tree). Lineage: Eukaryota; Viridiplantae; Streptophyta; Magnoliopsida; Malpighiales; Euphorbiaceae. The record is from RNAcentral.